RNAcentral lists this ribosomal RNA (395 nucleotides) under uncultured eukaryote. RNAcentral's name for it is "SSU rRNA". It matches the Rfam family "Eukaryotic small subunit ribosomal RNA", at positions 82 to 482 of the family's 1831-position model. The record is from RNAcentral.
UGAAACUGCGAAUGGCUCAUUAAAUCAGUUAUAGUUUAUUUGAUAGUACCUUUACCUGGAUAACCGUGGUAAUUCUAGAGCUAAUACAUGCUAAAAACCUCGACUUCGGAAGGGGUGUAUUUAUUAGAUAAAAAACCAAUGCCCUUCGGGGCUCCUUGGUGAUUCAUGAUAACUUAACGAAUCGCAUGGCCUUGCGCCGGCGAUGGUUCAUUCAAAUUUCUGCUCUAUCAACUUUCGAUGGUAGGAUAGUGGCCUACCAUGGUCUCAACGGGUAACGGGGAAUUAGGGUUCUAUUCCGGAGAGGGAGCCUGAGAAACGGCUACCACAUCCAAGGAAGGCAGCAGGCGCGCAAAUUACCCAAUCCCAAUACGGGGAGGUAGUGACAAUAAAUACUG